CCCGGGGUCUCGUGCACCAGGUCGGCGUAGGCGCGCUGGGCGCGCGCGGCCAGCUCGUCGAGUACGGCAUAGGCCGGUUCGGCGUCGGGCCCCAGGCCC
RNAcentral lists this transfer RNA (99 nucleotides) under Mycobacterium talmoniae. Its description in RNAcentral is "tRNA-Pro". Lineage: Bacteria; Bacillati; Actinomycetota; Actinomycetes; Mycobacteriales; Mycobacteriaceae. The record is from RNAcentral.